GGAGGAUUAGUCCUAAUGGUAAGGCAUCCCGCUUGAAACGGGACGGGUUCUGCCCUUGGGGGUUCGAAUCCCUCAUCCUCCGCCA
RNAcentral lists this transfer RNA (85 nucleotides) under Candidatus Cloacimonadota bacterium. RNAcentral describes it as "tRNA-Ser". It matches the Rfam family "tRNA". From Rfam's summary of the family: Transfer RNA (tRNA) molecules are approximately 80 nucleotides in length. The record is from RNAcentral. Lineage: Bacteria; Pseudomonadati; Candidatus Cloacimonadota.